GACGAACCGAGCGAACGUUGUUCGGAAUUACUGGGCGUAAAGCGUGCGCAGGCGGUUGUGCAAGACAGAUGUGAAAUCCCCGGGCUUAACCUGGGAACUGCAUUUGUGACUGCACGGCUAGAGUGUGUCAGAGGCUGGUAGAAUUCCACGUGUAGCAGUGAAAUGCGUAGAUAUGUGGAGGAAUACCGAUGGCGAAGGCAGCCCCCUGGGAUAACACUGACGCUCAUGCACGAAAGCGUGGGGAGCAAACAGG
Molecule: ribosomal RNA, 253 nt
Filed under: uncultured bacterium
Lineage: Bacteria
Description: partial 16S ribosomal RNA
Rfam family: Bacterial small subunit ribosomal RNA
Source: RNAcentral